Molecule: ribosomal RNA, 544 nt
Filed under: Malassezia sympodialis
Lineage: Eukaryota; Fungi; Basidiomycota; Malasseziomycetes; Malasseziales; Malasseziaceae
Description: eukaryotic LSU rRNA
Rfam family: 5.8S ribosomal RNA (bases 141-294)
Source: RNAcentral
UUGGGGGAUCUCGGGUAAUCGUGUCCAUCAUUAUGUCCAUACCAACCCCUGUGCAUUGUGAUGACGAAUGUCAUCGAACAAAAAAAACUCGUAUGGUUGAAUGUACGUGAAAUUGUAGGUAUAGCCUACGAACUAUACACAACUUUCGACAACGGAUCUCUUGGUUCUCCCAUCGAUGAAGAACGCAGCGAAACGCGAUAGGUAAUGUGAAUUGCAGAAUUCCGUGAAUCAUCGAAUCUUUGAACGCACCUUGCGCUCCAUGGUAUUCCGUGGAGCAUGCCUGUUUGAGUGCCGCGAAUUCUCCCUCCCCUUACGGUGGCCGAAAGGCCGAAGUAGGGCGGACGGGGUAGGAUGGGUGUUGCUGCCUGGGGAUUGUACCAGGCUCGCCCGAAAUGCAUAAGCGCCAGGACCCUCGCUACCGCUCUCUAGGGAAGAGUGGCUAAGCGACCGCUGAGCAUGGCAUGAUACGUCAUUUGCUGUGUGUGGGCGGCCGGUUGGAGAGGUGUCUGCUUUACCAGCCCUUUUUUAAUUCUGUCUCAAAUCA